This 118-nucleotide small RNA is filed under the name human gut metagenome. RNAcentral describes it as "Ribosomal protein L10 leader". It matches the Rfam family "Ribosomal protein L10 leader". Rfam says of the family: This family is a putative r-protein leader autoregulatory structure found in B. subtilis and other low-GC Gram-positive bacteria. It is located in the 5' untranslated regions of mRNAs encoding ribosomal proteins L10 and L12 (rplJ-rplL). A Rho-independent transcription terminator structure that is probably involved in regulation is included at the 3' end. The record is from RNAcentral.
UAUUAUACAAAAAGUGCCGUAGACAGCAGGUGACAAUAUGUCGUAACGUGAAACUACCUGCCGAGGAUACAUUUGAUUUUGUAUUUGCCUCCCUGUCUAUGACAGGGAGUUUUUUUAU